Molecule: transfer RNA, 73 nt
Filed under: Allomuricauda sp. NBRC 101325
Lineage: Bacteria; Pseudomonadati; Bacteroidota; Flavobacteriia; Flavobacteriales; Flavobacteriaceae
Description: Muricauda sp. NBRC 101325 tRNA-Arg
Rfam family: tRNA
About the family: Transfer RNA (tRNA) molecules are approximately 80 nucleotides in length.
Source: RNAcentral
GGCCCCGUAGUUCAAUGGAUAGAAUAGAAGUUUCCUAAACUUUAGAUGCAAGUUCGAUUCUUGCCGGGGCCAC